Molecule: long non-coding RNA, 496 nt
Filed under: Cyanistes caeruleus (blue tit)
Lineage: Eukaryota; Metazoa; Chordata; Aves; Passeriformes; Paridae
Description: lncRNA (ENSCCEG00000003364.1)
Source: RNAcentral
UGACACAGGUGACACAGGUGACACAGGUGACUCACCUGUCACCCUGGGCCAGCUGUCACUCCCCGGCAGGUGACACAGGUGACACAGGUGACACUGACAGUCACACAGGUGACAAUGACUCACCUGUCACUCUGGGCCAGGUGUCACUCCCCGGCAGGUGACACAGGUGACACAGGUGAUGUCCCUUACCUGUCACCCGUGGCCAGCUGUCACUCCCCGGCAGGUGACAUCCCUCCUGCUCCGGGAUCAGCCGCUCGUCCACCUCGAUCACCUCCUCAUAGAGCACCUCGGGCAUGGCCACCUCCUGCGGGGACAGCGGGGACACUGAGGGGACACCGGGGACACUGGGGACAGCGAGGGGACACCAGGGACACUGAGGGGACACCGGGACAUGGGGACACUGAGGGGACAGCGGGACAUGGGGACACCGGGGACACUGAGGGGACAGCAGGACAUGAGGGGACACCGGGACAUGGGGACACCAGGGGACACUGAG